CCUACGGGUGGCAGCAGUGAGGAAUAUUGGUCAAUGGGCGAGAGCCUGAACCAGCCAAGUCGCGUGAAGGAUGAAGGAUCUAUGGUUUGUAAACUUCUUUUAUAUGGGAAUAAAGUGAGGAACGUGUUCCUUUUUGUAUGUACCAUAUGAAUAAGCAUCGGCUAACUCCGUGCCAGCAGCCGCGGUAAUACGGAGGAUGCGAGCGUUAUCCGGAUGUAUUGGGUUUAAAGGGUGCGUAGGUGGUUAAUCAAGUCAGCGGUGAAAGGUUGUGGCUCAACCAUAAAAUUGCCGUUGAAACUGGUUGACUUGAGUAUAGUUGAGGUAAGCGGAAUGCGUGGUGUAGCGGUGAAAUGCGUAGAUAUCACGCAGAACACCGAUUGCGAAGGCAGAUUACUAAACGAUAACUGACACUGAGGCACGAAAGCGUGGGGAUCAAACAGGAUUAGAUACCCUAGUAGUC
RNAcentral lists this ribosomal RNA (460 nucleotides) under uncultured bacterium. RNAcentral's name for it is "partial 16S ribosomal RNA". It matches the Rfam family "Bacterial small subunit ribosomal RNA", at positions 338 to 795 of the family's 1533-position model. The record is from RNAcentral.